GUUAGGAAUAUUGGACAAUGGGCGAAAGCCUGAUCCAGCCAUGUCGCGUGAACGAUGAAGGCCUUCGGGUUGUAAAGUUCUUUAGCCGAUGAUUAUAAUGACUGUAGUCGGAAAAUAAGCCCCGGCUAACUUCGUGCCAGCAGCCGCGGUAAUACGAAGGGGGCGAGCGUUAUUCGGAAUCACUGGGCGUAAAGCGUGCGUAGGCGGUUUUGUAAGUUAGGAGUGAAAGCCCAGGGCUCAACCUUGGAAUUGCUCUUAAAACGGCAAGGCUCGAAUCUCGGAGAGGAUAGCGGAAUUUCCAGUGUAGCAGUGAAAUGCGUAGAUAUUGGAAGGAACACCAGUGGCGUAAGCGGCUAUCUGGACGAGUAUUGACGCUGAGGCACGAAAGCGUGGGGAUCAAACAGGAUUAGAAACCCGGGUAGUCC
RNAcentral lists this ribosomal RNA (425 nucleotides) under uncultured bacterium. Its description in RNAcentral is "partial 16S ribosomal RNA". It matches the Rfam family "Bacterial small subunit ribosomal RNA", at positions 354 to 796 of the family's 1533-position model. The record is from RNAcentral.